AUUGAACGCUGGCGGCAUGCCUUACACAUGCAAGUCGAACGGUAACGGGCCUUCGGGUGCCGACGAGUGGCGAACGGGUGAGUAAUGUAUCGGAACGUACCUUUCAGUGGGGGAUAACGUAGCGAAAGUUACGCUAAUACCGCAUAUUCUGUGAGCAGGAAAGCAGGGGAUCGCAAGACCUUGCGCUGAUUGAGCGGCCGAUAUCAGAUUAGCUAGUUGGUGAGGUAAAGGCUCACCAAGGCGACGAUCUGUAGCGGGUCGUGAGAGGAUGAUCCGCCACACUGGAACUGAGACACGGUCCAGACUCCUACGGGAGGCAGCAGUGGGGAAUUUUGGACAAUGGGGGCGAACCCUGAUCCAGCCAUGCCGCGUGAGUGAAGAAGGCCUCGGUUG
RNAcentral lists this ribosomal RNA (393 nucleotides) under uncultured bacterium. Its description in RNAcentral is "bacterial SSU rRNA". It matches the Rfam family "Bacterial small subunit ribosomal RNA", at positions 30 to 425 of the family's 1533-position model. The record is from RNAcentral.